GCAGUCGAGCGAACGGAUAAGGAGCUUGCUCCUUUGAAGUUAGCGGCGGACGGGUGAGAAACACGUGGGUAACCUACCUAUAAGACUGGAAUAACUUCGGGAAACCGGAGCUAAUGCCGGAUAACAUUUGGAACCGCAUGGUUCUAAAGUAAAAGAUGGUUUUGCUAUCACUUAUAGAUGGACCCGCGCCGUAUUAGCUAGUUGGUAAGGUAACGGCUUACCAAGGCAACGAUACGUAGCCGACCUGAGAGGGUGAUCGGCCACACUGGAACUGAGACACGGUCCAGACUCCUACGGGAGGCAGCAGUAGGGAAUCUUCCGCAAUGGACGAAAGUCUGACGGAGCAACGCCGCGUGAGUGAUGAAGGUUUUCGGAUCGUAAAACUCUGUUAUUAGGGAAGAACAAAUGUGUAAGUAACUGUGCACAUCUUGACGGUACCUAAUCAGAAAGCCACGGCUAACUACGUGCCAGCAGCCGCGGUAAUACGUAGGUGGCAAGCGUUAUCCGGAAUUAUUGGGCGUAAAGCGCGCGUAGGCGGUUUCUUAAGUCUGAUGUGAAAGCCCACGGCUCAACCGUGGAGGGUCAUUGGAAACUGGGAAACUUGAGUACAGAAGAGGAAAGUGGGAAUUCCAUGUGUAGCGGUGAAAUGCGCAGAGAUAUGGAGGAACACCAGGUGGGCGAAGGCGACUUUCUGGUCUGUAACUGACGCUGAUGUGGCGAAAGCGUGGGGGAUCAAACAGGAUUAGGAUACCCUGGGUAGUCCACGCCGUAAACGAUGAGUGCUAAGUGUUAGGGGGGUUUCCGCCCCUUAGUGGCUGCA
RNAcentral lists this ribosomal RNA (820 nucleotides) under Staphylococcus equorum. RNAcentral describes it as "bacterial SSU rRNA". It matches the Rfam family "Bacterial small subunit ribosomal RNA", at positions 57 to 850 of the family's 1533-position model. The record is from RNAcentral. Lineage: Bacteria; Bacillati; Bacillota; Bacilli; Caryophanales; Staphylococcaceae.